Molecule: ribosomal RNA, 498 nt
Filed under: uncultured bacterium
Lineage: Bacteria
Description: partial 16S ribosomal RNA
Rfam family: Bacterial small subunit ribosomal RNA
Source: RNAcentral
AUUGAACGCUGGCGGCAUGCCUUACACAUGCAAGUCGAACGGUAACAGGUCUUCGGAUGCUGACGAGUGGCGAACGGGUGAGUAAUACAUCGGAACGCGCCUAGUAGUGGGGGAUAACUACUCGAAAGAGUGGCUAAUACCGCAUGAGAUCUACGGAUGAAAGCCGGGGAUCGCAAGACCUUGUGCUACUAAAGCGGCCGAUGGCAGAUUAGGUAGUUGGUGGGAUAAAAGCUUACCAAGCCGACGAUCUGUAGCUGGUCUGAGAGGACGAUCAGCCACACUGGGACUGAGAAACGGCCCAGACUCCUACGGGAGGCAGCAGUGGGGAAUUUUGGACAAUGGGCGCAAGCCUGAUCCAGCAAUGCCGCGUGCAGGAUGAAGGCCUUCGGGUUGUAAACUGCUUUUGUACGGAACGAAAAGCCCCGGGUUAAUACCCUGGGGUCAUGACGGUACCGUAAGAAUAAGCACCGGCUAACUACGUGCCAGCCGCCGCCGUAA